GUGAGUCCAGGGUGCAGGCAGGGUUGAGCCCACCUGGAUGAGGUGCUUGAGUCCAUCAUCUCAGUGAAGACGGGGUGAUGUUAGUGAGCAUGUACAGUCUUCCCUCAGUAUCCCUGAGGGAUUUGUUCCAGGAUUCCCCAGAGAUACCAAACUCCUCAGAUGCUCAAGUUCCUUAUGGUAUAAGAUGGUGCAGUGAGGUCAACCCUCCUAUUUGCGGUUCCACAUGAGCAGAUUCAACCAACUGCAGAUGGAUCUGGUUGGUUGACUUGCAGGCUGCAGAAUUCCUGAAUACAAAGGGCCAACUGUGUGUUAUAGAAGAGAAAAAAGCUGACCCAGCCCACCCCGCAUUCUCCUAGAGGGGAAUACUUUGAAUGGCGCUUGUCACCAAUGUGCUUAAGUCCAAAGCCAGGGAGUCCUCCUCCUUUUCCCUUCCUUUAGUGAUGCUGACCCGGUUGUUUACCAGAGCCAAGGAGGAAGGACCAGCUGGCUCUGCCCUGAUGCUGCACAGCUCAUGACGGAUGGAUUCCAGCCCUACUUAUCCUCCCUGUCCUGUGGGGCCCAAGUAAAUAGGGCUCUUUUGUAUGAGGAACCCCGGAGUUGCUGAGUGCCCAGCCCACCAGCCCAUGUGGCGGGAUUCAGGUCAGAGAGAAGUCAGAAGCCUAAAGAAACUUGCAGGGAUAUUUGCAACCUAGUUCCUGACAAGAUGGAAAGAUGAACACAGGAUCCUUCCCUGUCAUGGCUUCGCUCAUAGUAGACACUCAAUAAAUACUCACUCACUUCUUUAAUUAGAUAGAA
Bos taurus (domestic cattle) is the source of this 795-nucleotide long non-coding RNA. The record is from Ensembl. Lineage: Eukaryota; Metazoa; Chordata; Mammalia; Artiodactyla; Bovidae.